RNAcentral lists this long non-coding RNA (764 nucleotides) under Homo sapiens (human). Its description in RNAcentral is "non-protein coding lnc-MUC20-67:139". Lineage: Eukaryota; Metazoa; Chordata; Mammalia; Primates; Hominidae. The record is from RNAcentral.
GCUACUCCUCUCUGAGCUACUUUUCCAGGUUCCACAGGGAGAGGUUCAGCUGUCCGUGGUAGACAUGAGGGUAGAGAAUGAGGUGGUUGGGUUCCACUUACCUUUCUAUCAUCUUGCAGUAUGGAUGUCUCUUGACUGGUACCGUGUAGACUUUUGAGGGCACACAGGAGUCUGCAGAGAGAUACUGGGGACAUUGAGCAGCAGCAGUGGGGUUGGGAGGCAGAAAUGAGGACAGGAACAUUUACCUUGUGUUUCUCUCAGCUUCUCAGAUGACCAAGAUGGUGCUGCAGAUGGUGCUGAGGAUGGAGAACCCACCAAGCCCCGCUAGGAGCCACCUAGACUGGAUGCAGAGCAUGAGAAGGCUUCCAAUGACUCGAGCCCCUUUAAAGGAUCCGGAACAAAGGGGCCACUCACCCCUUCCAGGGUGCUCUGUUUUCUUUGUGGAGUUUCAAGAGUGAUGGGCGGAUUCUUCUUAGGUCUAAAGCUCUGCUGUCUUCCUGUACGGCAUGACCUGACCUCUUUGGCUUUGGGGGAACCAGAGAUGACCCUGCACUGUGAGAGGAUUUGACCUUGGCGUGUGUAAUGGCAGACGAGAACUACAAAGAAGGGGUGGCUGAGCACAGUUUACAGGGAAUGGUCUUGGCUGUUUUUUUGUUUUUUUUUUUUUCUCUUCUAGGAAGCUGUGAUUUAAGGAUCCUAAUUCUAGUUCAGAGAUGCAUCCUAAAGGGUCUUCUCUAUUGCUUUUUCUCCCAAAAUGAAUCUCA